RNAcentral lists this ribosomal RNA (374 nucleotides) under uncultured bacterium. Its description in RNAcentral is "bacterial SSU rRNA". It matches the Rfam family "Bacterial small subunit ribosomal RNA", at positions 100 to 472 of the family's 1533-position model. The record is from RNAcentral.
GCACGGGUGAGUAACGCGUAUCCAACCUUCCGCUUACUCGGGGAUAGCCUUUCGAAAGAAAGAUUAAUACCCGAUGGUAUCUUAAGCACGCAUGAGAUUAAGAUUAAAGAUUUAUCGGUAAGCGAUGGGGAUGCGUUCCAUUAGGCAGUUGGCGGGGUAACGGCCCACCAAACCUACGAUGGAUAGGGGUUCUGAGAGGAAGGUCCCCCACAUUGGAACUGAGACACGGUCCAAACUCCUACGGGAGGCAGCAGUGAGGAAUAUUGGUCAAUGGGCGAGAGCCUGAACCAGCCAAGUAGCGUGAAGGAUGACGGCCCUACGGGUUGUAAACUUCUUUUGUGCGGGAAUAAAGGAACCUACGUGUAGGUUUUUGC